CAUGAACUUCAUUAGUACUGCUUUCGGCGUGUUUUUUGAGUAUGACACACCGCGAAUUGUCCAUAUACAAAGCAAGAAGGUCGGUGUGAUCAACCGUUUUAUCCAGCUCUGCAUCAUAGGCUAUGUCAUCGGGUAUGCUAUCAUUUACAAGAAAGGUUACCAGGACUUUGACAAUGUACAAAGUGUGGUCACUACAAAGGUCAAAGGCAUUGUCAUGGUGAACACCUCAAUACAUCCAGACAUUCAAUCUAUCUGGGAUGUGGCAGACUACAUUGUACCCCCUCAGGAAAAUAAUGCCUUCUUUGUUAUAACAAAUCUGAUUGUUACUCCAUUCCAAACACUUGGCACAUGUCCAGAGGACAUCAAAAUAAAGGGUUCCAACUGCACCUUGGACCGGGACUGUCCAGCUGGCACAUCUCUACCAGUGGGCAAUGGAGUUUUAACAGGAAAGUGUAAUACUGACGUGGGCAGAUGUGACAUAUAUGCCUGGUGUCCCGUGGAAAAAGGAACUUUAGAGAUCCCAAAACCGGCAGUUUUGGAGAAUUCAAAAGAUUUUACGGUCUUCAUUAAGAAUAAUAUAGAGUUUCCAAAGUAUAAUGUUAAAAGGAGAAAUAUUUUUGGUUUUCAAUCAAAUGAAGAGUUGUCACAAUGCCGGUACAAUGCAGAUGAUCCGGUAGCAAAGUAUUGCCCAAUUUUUGUGUUGAGCGAAAUUGUAGGUGGCUCAGGAAGUAGUUAUGCAGAUUUAUCUAAAGAGGGGGGUGUGAUUCAGAUCCGCAUCAAAUGGAACUGUAACCUGGAUCUCUCAGAAGAGAAUUGUCUACCAGAGUACAGCUUCAGGAGACUGGAUAGUAGCACCUACAAAAUAUCCAAGGGAUACAACUUUAGAUAUUCAAAGAAUUUUAAAUUUGAGAAUGGUACAGAAUACAGGACUCUUUAUAAAGCCUUUGGAAUAAAGUUUGUGAUCUCGGUAUCUGGUCAGGCUCGCAAAUUCGCACCUGUUCCAUUUUUUACAAACAUUGGAAGCGGGCUUGCUCUUUUGUCAAUAGCCACAGUAAUCUGUGAUAUUGUCGUACUUUACGUUCUGAAAGCCAAGGUGGUUUACAGAGAAAAGAAAUACCUGCAGGUUGUUGGGGACGAUGCAUACAAAGGAUUAGUGAAUGAAGAAGGGAGGCCUAGAACAAAUUAUGGCAUGCCAUCCGAAAAUGAGUAUGACUUGUAAUUUCCACGCACUUAGGUUUUAGACUAGUAGUCCAUAAUUAGCAUACUGCCAUCCGUAACAUUUAUGUGCCAUAGGAGAAUCGGUUACUGUCAUCAAUCCCUGACUAUUUCAAACUUCCCAACAGAAUUCGUCAAAAAAGACUUUGAAUAACCUUUGUUAUUGUAGUUUGAAUCAUUUGAUGCUUGAAUCAAGGGGUAUGCAUAUCAUUAUGAAGUUAUAAUUAGGAACGACAAGCUGAUUAUUGAUCAGAAGGGUUUUGUAGUAACUUCUGAGGUGAUGUAAUGGUGAAUUUUAGUUUUUAUGCUGCUGUGCUUAGUCCACGUUAGUGUUUUUCAUUACAGUCACUGUAGUGUACAUGUACAUAUUUACACUCGAACUUGAUUUUGAUAUGUUAAGCUUUUACAAAUUUGUUGUUUUCAUUUCGCAAUCAUUCAGAAUGACAUCGCGAUGCCACACUACACAAUAAUGAUGACAUCCUAAUGCCAAUCUUUCAGAUGUUGUUUUCUAUCUCAGGAUAAUAAUGAUAAUUGAUAUAUCAUGAAAUGAAACCUAGCAGCUCAAAAUGAAUACAAAAGACUGCGAAGAAAAAGCCGUUAUUUUGUUUUGACCAAGUCGAUUGUUUUUUGUUUUUUUUUGGGGGGGGGGGGGGGGGUGGGGGGGAUGGGUGUUGUUAAUGUUUACGCACAGUGAUUUGUAAUCACACUUAUUGAUUAUGUGGAAUAGCUUGUCACAAUAAGGUACUUUGAUUUAUCUACAAUAUGCAUUCCUUCAUUAAUUAGUCUCGAUUAUCCAGGCGUUUGUGUAUACUCCCUACUAACAUCUGGAAAGAAAAAAAAAAUCCUGGUUAAAUGACGUCGAUCUAGUAAACAUCAAGUUAAUAACGCUGUAGAAAAAAAGCAGUGUCUGAUGAAUUUUCCGAGUUACUUGAUGACUUAAAAUAUACGAUACUUUAUCAGGAUUAAUUCAUUAUAACUCAGGGUUAUCCCCAGAUGUCAAAUUCAACUUGCAUAAUAGUCAAGGGGCGCGUUUUACAAAACAACUUACAACAAAGUCGCAAGUCUUAAAUUGUAUUACACUGUUAUUACUUUGAGUGAGUGAAGGAAAACUUUUCUGAGGCUUAAUUUUCAACAUUUUAAAAAAUAUAUUUUGCAUUUGGAGUGAAUGAUCUUACAAUAAACUGGAAAAUUCCAGUAUGUAAAGUUGGCCUUAAGUCGUAAGUUCUUUUGUAAAACGCAUCCCUGAAGUCCAGGGAAAAUGUUCUAAACACUAAAUCCGGUUUUUUUUACCAUGGAAAAUAAUUGCUUCAACUUUCUAGAGAUCUUUCAAAUCAAAGUAGUUUCUAUGGGUGCAGGUAUUACCGUUUUGAACUAGCCAAUCGGCGUCUUUCUCAGAAUUUCAAUAGGCCUCGCUUUAAGUUCAGAAGAAUCCAGACGUUUGUGGGAACGCUUGUAUGAUUGAGACUAUCCAUUAGUCAUCCGUCCACAUCAUGUUCAACAGUUUUUAUAUGCCCGUCUUUAGACGGGACGUAUUAUGGUACAGCGAUGUCUGUACAUCCGUCCGUCCGUUCGGGGUUUUCUCUUUAUAAUUUCAUUUCCCUUUCACAUAUCAUGCUGAAACUUGCUGUGUAGCUUCUUUGUGGGUCACUCUAGAUCAUACUGCAAUUUUGAUCCAUUUUGACCUUUUUUCCAGGAGUUUUGCCCCUUUAUUUGAAUAUAAUUAUUAUAUGGAGGGUACAUAAUUUGUCCGCCCUACUCCUCCCACAGUUUUCAAGUGAGAGCCUUCUUAUUAUGCCCCCUUCAAAGAAGAGGGGCAUAUUGGUUUGCACCUGUCGGUUGGUAGACCACAUGUUGUCCGCUCAAUAUCUUGAGAACCAUUCACUUGAUGAUAAUGAUAUUUCAUAUGUGGGUUGGUUAUGAGUAGAAGAGGACCCCUAUUGUUUUUCAGGUCCAAAGGUCAAGGGCCAAUCUACUCUGGACAUAGGAAUAUAAUGUCCGCUCAAUAUCUUGAGAAUCCUUUUGCUUGAAAAACAUCAAACUUAGCACACUGGUACAUCCUAAGGAGUAGAUGACCCCUAUUGAUUUUGAGGUUAUAUGGUCAAGGGUCAAACUGGGCAUAGGAAUAUACUGACCAUUCAAUGUCUAGAGAACCCUUUGCUUGACAGACAUCAAACUUGGUACACCAGUACAUCUUCAGAAGAAGAUGACCCCUAUUGAUUUUGAGGUCAAAGGUCAAGGGUCAAACUGGACAUAGGAAUAUACUGUCCGUUCAAUAUAUUGAGAACCCUUUGCUUGACAGACAUCAAACUUGGCACACUGGUACAACUUCAGAAGAAGAUGACCCCUAUUGAUUUUGAGGCCACAUGGUCAAGGGUCAAACAGGACAUUAGAAUAUACUGUCCGCUCAAUAUCUUGAGAACUCUUUGCUUGACAGACAUCAAACUUAGUACACUGGUACAUCUUCAGGAGAAAAUUACCCCUAUUGAUUUUGAUAUCAUAUGUUUAAAGGUCAAGGGUCAAACUGGACAUUGGAAUAUACUGUCUGCUCAAUAUCUUGAGAACCCUUUGCUUGACAGACAUCAAACUUAGUACACUGGUACGUCUUCAGGAGAAGAUGACCCCUAUUGAUUUUGAGGUCACAUUGUCAAAGGUCAAGGGUCAAACUGGACAUAGGAAUAUACUGUCCGUUCAAUAUCUUGAGAACCCUUUGCUUGACAGACAUCAAACUUGGUACACUGGUACAUCUUCAGGAGAAGAUGAUCCCUAUUGAUUUUGAGGUCAUAUGUUUAAAGGUCAAGAGUCAACAUGGACAUUGGAAUAUACUGUCCGCUCAAUAUCUUGAGAACCCUUUGCUUGACAGACAUCAAACUUAGUACAGUGGUGUAUAUUCAGGAGGAGAUGACUCCUAUUGAUUUUGAGGUCACAUGGUCAAAGGUCAAACCGGACAUAGUAAUAUACUGUCCACUCAAUAUCUUGAUAACCCUUUUGCUUGACAGACAUCAAACUUAGUACACUUGUACAUCUUCAGGAGAAGAUGACCCAUAUUGAUUUUGAGGUCAAAAGUCAAUUGUUGAACUGGACAUAGUAAUAUAUUGUCUCCUAUAUUUUAAGAAUUAUUUGCUUGAUUGACACCAAACUUGGUACACUGGUACAGCAUAAGGAGUAGAUGACCCCUAUUGAUUUUUAGGUCACAUGGUCAAUUCACUCUUGACAUAGGAAGAUAUUGUCUGCUCAAUAUUUUGAAUUUAAAUUAAAUGAUGUGUGUGUAUAACCCUUUUCAAUUUUGCACCAUGGGUGGCAUAUGUGUUUUACAAACAUCUCUUGUUUUGUGGAGUGUUUGUAUGGGUAUUGAAGAUGUGCAUGUGGGAUGGAUUUUGAUUUUCUACAAUUUUUGAGAAAAUUACAGGUUGUUGAACUUAGUCCAUUUGGAAAUUAAUAUUCUAUGGAGGGUACAUAAUUUGCCCGCCCAACUCCUCCCACAGUUUUCAAGUGAGGACCAUCUUAUUUUGUGGAGUGUUUGUAUGGGUAUUGAAGAUGUUCAUCUGGGGAAGGAUUUUGAUUUUCUUCCAGUUUUGAAAAAAAUACAGGUUGUUGAACUUGGUCCAUUUUGAGGAAAUCUAGAUUUUUAAGCUAAGACCCUUUGUUCAUAUGAAAGUUUGUCACAGCCUCAUGAUGGCUGAUAAUACCUGAAGCAAAGUUAUACAAAUUAUAGCACAAGAAAAACACCCUAUGUAAGCAUUUCACGGGCGUAUUAUGUUCCGUUUGUGGUACUCUUGUUCCAUAUUGUCUUCGUUGUAAAGUUCGUAUUUGUAUAUUUACAAUAUUUGGCGUAAUCACUUUAUCAUGUAUAAAUAGAUAUGCUAGAACAUUCUCAUGCAAUAUUGAUGGUGAUUUUUAUUGACCAAAUUAAAUUCAUUGAUGUAUAA
Molecule: RNA transcript, 5141 nt
Organism: Ostrea edulis (European flat oyster)
Lineage: Eukaryota; Metazoa; Mollusca; Bivalvia; Ostreida; Ostreidae
Gene name: P2X purinoceptor 4-like
Exons: 13
Source: RefSeq, a predicted model, not a curated record